This is a long non-coding RNA of Sander lucioperca (pikeperch), 2779 nucleotides long. RefSeq lists it as uncharacterized. The record is from RefSeq and is a predicted model, not a curated record. The transcript is spliced from 3 exons. NCBI's taxonomy places the organism in Eukaryota, Metazoa, Chordata, Actinopteri, Perciformes, Percidae.
CAUACUCUGCUCCAUGAGGGAGCAGUCGCUAAAGAGCUCUGGAUAGACCAUGUAAGGUUCUGCAGGUGUCCCACCCUUCUCUCAUCACAUAGAUGCUUUAAAAGUGUACCGUGACGGGAGAAAGAAACAAUGGGAGGGAGCAGGGGAUGAAAGAAGACAUUCGACAAAGAUCCCAGGUCGGACUCCAAACGAGGGUGUCGUAGUUAGGCUACAUGUGUUUGUUGGGGUCAAAGGCUGAAAGCUGGUGAGUGGUGACCUGAGUGAGAGGCCUCGGUGACAUCUGACCUCUAACUGGUUGUGCGGCUGAUCCUGGAGGAUACAACUCAACAAUGGGAGGCACGUGCCUUGGCCUUGUCACCAUGGUAACACAGGACAUUUUGGAACGGUGAGGGGGGUGGGGGGUCAAAGCUGGGUCUUUAUCCUGAUCUGUGUUAACCGUCUGCUGCCAAUUACUUUUAUGUAUAUAAGAACGUACCCACCACAACACAGCGCAUGUGUGUGUGUGUGUGUGUGUGUGUGUGUGUGUGUGUGUGUGAGAGAGAGAGACGGUGCACGGGUGAAGAUAAAUAGGGGCUGACUGAGUAAUCUCUGCAGGCAACUGUGAUGGUGCUUUAAAUUCUCACAAUCACCUGGAGAGAUUCUGCAGUUUGUCUAAUAUGCCUUAAAAAAACUCCAUAAUACAAACCUUGUUUCAUCUCCAUUCUUCGUAUCACCAAUCAGAGCAACUAUGACGAAUUCUUUGCCAUUGCAAUACAUUACAUUUUUCAUUUGAGUGUUUUCUGCAACAUGUUGGGAGACCAAAUUGUUUACCAAAGGUUGGCUCAAAAACUGUCUGCCUCCGUGAAACGGUGAUUCAAGAGGAUUUUAACACUCUCAUUUGAGGUAAUGAUCAUUGCACAAUAGAAGAGAUGUUACUAUGACACUUUUGAUUAAUCUUUUUAUGCCUCACUAUUACAAGUCAAAACAGGUGGUUGUUUAAAAGAAGAAAAAGGGGUAGGUUAUUGAAUUACAGUCCUGAAUAAAGGCCAACAGGUGCAGUCCACCUGGAAGAAAACGUGUUUCACACUUUAUACUUUGCCUCUUUGAUGCUGUGCGAGCUGCAUGCUCACCACAGAUCACCACCAUCAUACAACCAUCCUGCCACCCCUAACAACACAGCACUAUACCUACAAUAUUACUCUUCAAAUUCCAUGUAAUGUAAUAUUUGACACAUCUGCAUUUUUGUCUUCAUUGCUACUACCAAUCUUCUUGUUUCUAGCCUGAGUCCUUUCCCCACUCUUACCCCUCCUCCACCUCUGCUUUUCCUGUCUCAUCCCCUUCUCCUUGUGUUCUGCUGUGUUUUGGUGAAAUCUCAGCUGGCAACUGUGAGUCGUUCACUAGCUGCUCUCACAAUGGCCUCUGGGAUUAUGCUAAACACAGCGCCUCGGCUGCUCUCCCCAUCGACCGGCGUCAGCGACGCCCUUUGGAGCACACAGGAAAGAGAUGGAGGGCUCUCAAUGAAGAUGUCACUGCAAUUACACAAGCGCGUUUCACAGACACCCUCUCUGUCUACUCAACCUCCUCUCGCAUCCCCCUUCCCCACUUUUAAAAAAUUUCUUUUCGACAGUCUUUUGAAGUGCAGCCUCAUCUCUUGCAGCUCUUUCAUAAUGCAUGCCCAUUUUGAAUUUGCAUGAAUUCACUUUCCAGAUGCUUCUGCUGCCAUCUUGACUUACAGUGAUGUGUACUGUACAGUAUUGGCUAUUGAAUUAUGAUAGCAUGAAAAGAAUAAUAAUAAUAAUGGCUUGUUUUUAGGAGUUUUGGUUAUUUUUGUGUCACUCAUCUCACCGUUAAGAGAUAUUGUGAAAGGAUCAAAAUGUGCUGUGAACUAGUCAGCUUUUGUUGCCCCUGCACUGAUGCUGGGGUGAAGGAAGAACUUUCUGAUGUGGAUGAUACUGCAUCAGGAACUGAUUGGCUGAUGCUCAAUAGCCAACAGUACCUGAUGCAUUGCCUUCAGCAUCGAAGGAAACGUCACAGACUACUGGCUCCUUUAAUGCUCUGAAAAAUGUACUUACAUAGUUACACUAGUGUAUUAGCCCUUUGUAUAUGAGUUUAUUUUUGCUCUUAGGACUGUUAAGCAGUGAUAAUGAACAGAUUCUCAGCAAUAUACCUUACACACUUACCAUGUGAUUGCCCCAGAGCACAUGUAUGUGCAUGUGUGUGUAUGUUAGUCACUAUUGUGGGCUGGGGGAUUAGGUAAUAAUGAUCUAAGAGAUGUUGUUAAUCGCAAAGCGGUAUUUAUGGUAAGCUACCAUUCCAAUUUAUCACUCUUGCAUUUAAAUGUAUGUUGGUGCGAUCUGGUGUAUUAUGUUACCCUAUUGUUCACUUAAGUCUAAAUCGGUUGUUUUUAGGUCAUAUGUUAGCAUGUUUUUCUUGCAGGCUAACUUUUCUGAAGGAAGAUGUUUUAAUACAAUGUUUAAAGUGCACUUCUGCACAGAUGUUCAAAUGUACUGUAUCAGAACAGUGCUUUUGUAACAUUAAUGUGAGAAGGAUCAUCUGCUUUGACUUUAAUAGCAUUUCUGUGGAUGCUUUCUCACACCUAGAGGUGCACCCAGUGGGGUGGGAGCUCGCCAGGGGAAUGUUCUCUUUUCUUCUCUUUUAUCAGUCUUGGAUAAAAUCUUCAAUUUAUCUCGAUAAACUGUUUCAAAACGGCUUUGAUUAAUCAAGUGCUUUAUCUUAGUGUCUCUGCCAUUUUUGUGCAUCUGUUGAAUAGAUUGCCAAGUAAAAUAAACUUUUAAGUGAA